GGUAGUGACCAGAAAUAACAWUACGGGGCUUAAUGUCUUGUAAUUGGAAUGAUGGGAAUUUAAACCUCUUCCAGAGUAUCAAUUGGAGGGCAAGUCUGGUGCCAGCAGCCGCGGUAAUUCCAGCUCCAAUAGCGUAUAUUAAAAUUGUUGCAGUUAAAAAGCUCGUAGUUGAAUUUCUGCUGCAUUUCAUUUCUCUUUCUGAGUUUGUUUUUGCGGCUUAUUUCGGUUUGAUUUUUUCUUUCCGGAUGAUUACUUUGAGAAAAUUAGAGUGCUCAAAGCAGGCUUUUGCCUUGAAUAGUUUAGCAUGGAAUAAUAAAGUAGGACUUUGGUUCUAUUUUGUUGGUUUUAGGUACCAAAGUAAUGGUUAAUAGGAACAGUUGGGGGCAUUCGUAUUUAACUGUCAGAG
This 406-nucleotide ribosomal RNA is filed under the name Theileria sp. RNAcentral's name for it is "SSU rRNA". It matches the Rfam family "Eukaryotic small subunit ribosomal RNA", at positions 465 to 921 of the family's 1831-position model. Lineage: Eukaryota; Apicomplexa; Aconoidasida; Piroplasmida; Theileriidae. The record is from RNAcentral.